This 253-nucleotide ribosomal RNA is filed under the name uncultured bacterium. Its description in RNAcentral is "partial 16S ribosomal RNA". It matches the Rfam family "Bacterial small subunit ribosomal RNA", at positions 524 to 776 of the family's 1533-position model. The record is from RNAcentral.
CACGUAGGGCGCAAGCGUUGUCCGGAAUUAUUGGGCGUAAAGAGCUCGUAGGCGGUCUGUCGCGUCGGCUGUGAAAACCCGAGGCUCAACCUCGGGCCUGCAGUCGAUACGGGCAGACUAGAGUACUGCAGGGGAGACUGGAAUUCCUGGUGUAGCGGUGAAAUGCGCAGAUAUCAGGAGGAACACCGGUGGCGAAGGCGGGUCUCUGGGCAGUAACUGACGCUGAGGAGCGAAAGCGUGGGGAGCGAACAGG